RNAcentral lists this ribosomal RNA (253 nucleotides) under uncultured bacterium. RNAcentral's name for it is "partial 16S ribosomal RNA". It matches the Rfam family "Bacterial small subunit ribosomal RNA", at positions 524 to 776 of the family's 1533-position model. The record is from RNAcentral.
UACGUAGGGAGCUAGCGUUGUUCGGAAUCACUGGGCGUAAAGCGCACGUAGGCGGAUGUGUCAGUCAGGGGUGAAAUCCCGGAGCUCAACUUCGGAACUGCCUUUGAUACAGCACGUCUUGAGUCCGAUAGAGGUGGGUGGAAUUCCUAGUGUAGAGGUGAAAUUCGUAGAUAUUAGGAAGAACACCGGUGGCGAAGGCGGCCCACUGGAUCGGUACUGACGCUGAGGUGCGAAAGCGUGGGGAGCAAACAGG